UCCGGCUUGACGCCGGCAGUCCCCCGAGAGUCCUCAGCUUUACCUGUUAGUAACACGGGGCAAGGGUUCUACUUCCAGCAUGUCAAGCCUAGGUGAGGUUCUUCGCGUUGCAUCGAAUUAAACCACACGCUCCGCUGCUUGUGCGGGCCCCCGUCAAUUCCUUUGAGUUUUAGCCUUGCGGCCGUACUCCCCAGGCAGGGCACUUAAUGCGUUAGCUGCGGCACCGGAGGGGUCGAUACCCCCGACACCUAGUGCCCAACGUUUACGGCGUGGACUAC
Molecule: unclassified non-coding RNA, 278 nt
Filed under: uncultured Chloroflexota bacterium
Lineage: Bacteria; Bacillati; Chloroflexota
Description: uncultured Chloroflexi bacterium contains 16S-23S intergenic spacer region
Source: RNAcentral